AGUUGGUCCGAAGCUGGCCACCUGCGUGUGUAAGCAAGCUUGGGAGUUUGGCUCAGGCAGGGUGUCCUGUGGCAUUUAAUUGAGAAAGAACUUUACGUGGCGGUAAAUCCGUCUGGAAGGGAAAAAAGCACAAAGAGGCUGUAUAAGGACAGCGAGGGAUAGACUGGCUUAAAUUCGCGUGAAGAUUUAGUAUCGCGCGGCUGUACUAGUGAUCCCAGGGCCAAAAGUCAAAUAAGGAAGGAAGGAAACGCGCCCGUGAGAGAAUAAAGGGCGCUUUGGCCUCCCGAGGUCUCUCACGACUCAGAGGCUUAUAAACAAAGUCGCUGCCACAGUGUGAAUUGACGUUUUGCCAAAUUCUUGUCUUCAGAUAAGGGAAUUCUGAAAACGACCUUGAAAGUAGAGAAGAGGAGUGUGCAGAUAGCUUUAGCAGCCUCGCAAAGGGUUCUUGUGUUCAUCUAUUUGAAGGUAGCCACAUCUGAGCCUGAUAGAGAGAACUUUGCGUUGACGUCCUGGCCUGUGAGCUGCGUUUAGUCUCUGGAUGGGACUUUGAAGUCAUACUCCUCAGGGACAAAGGCGAGAGAGGGAACCAGGAGUCGGAACUCUUCCUCUUCGAGACCACGGGGCGUGGUCAGAGGGACUUCCUAGCUUGGCUGCAUAUCCUGACAAGAAGCCUGCAAAGGUCGUGUUCUAUAAGAAGCACUGUUCAUCUAACCCAUGCACUCUGGAUAUGAAAAACUCUGAUUUUUCCACUACUUGCUGCCAAAAAAAUAGGUGGAAGCUUCUUUACCUGCAGGCUUCCUCUGGCUAAUUGUUCCAUGAGUGGCAGCAAUGCUGUGGUCUGACAUGAGAGAGCACAGGCGUCCAGCAGUGAGGAUGGAGGCAGAAAUGAGGUUUAAUUUUACUUUUUAAUCUUUUUAGGGCCACACCUGUCACAUAUGGUUCCCAGGCUAGGGUUCACAUCGGAGCUGUAGCCGCUGGCCUACACCACAGCCACAGCUCAGGCACACAGGACCCGAGCCUCAUCUUUGACCUUCACCACAGCUCACGGCGACACCAGAUCCUUAACCCACUGAGCGAGGCCAGGAAUCGAACCUGCAUCCUCAUGGAUGCAUCACAUUCGUUUCUGCUGAGCCACAACAGGAACUCCCAGAAAUAAGGUUUAAUGCUGAGGAGGUUGUCGGUGACUCAUCUAAGCAGCCUGCACAAGUUCAAGGGAAGGCUUGUGUCCCUGGGGGUCAGUGCUCUAAUGAUUUGCAAAUACAAAAUUCUCAGUCUCUGUAUCUGCAAGUCCUAAACAUUCAAAUUUGAAACAUAGGGUUGUCCACUGUAUUUAAAGUUUUUGAGUAUAUUCUCCCCCAAGUGGCUACCACCAGCCAUUUCUUGCCAAGGAACAGCUCCUCUCUGCACUUAGAGAUAAUGCCUGAGAGCCUCAGGCCACUGCCCCUGCCGCCGCUGUGGAGUGCAGAGAGAACAGAAUUCCCUUCUCCUUUUGUUAGGGGAGGGAGGGGGACCUUCCAGAUCCAGGUCAAGUCUCUAACUGGUCUAAACCUAGACCCCCGCUCCUGCAAACCUACAAAUGUUCUCUACAGAUGCCACUUCUCAGAACAAGUAAGUCAUUAUGUGUUAAAACUGCAAAACAUCAAAUUUACCAUUUUAGCCUUUUUAAAGUACACAAUUCGGUGGCAUUUAGUACAUUCACAACUUGUGCCACUGUCAUCAUUACUCAUUUCCAGAAGUUUUUUUAUCAUCCAAACAGAACAUUUGUGCACAUUACACAAAAACUUCCCAUCACCUCCUCCCUCAGGGGAAUACUUUUAAACACUUUUGGUGCCAACACAAUCUGUAGCUGUUUUUACACCUCUUUUACAGGCUUUUGUUAUUUUAUUUAUUUAAAAACACUUAUUAGGCAACCAUACGGGGUGAACUCAGGUAAAUUCCUGGAGGAACUUGCAGUGAAGGAACUUGCAAUGAGCUAAGACAGAGACACAGAUAGAUGAUAACACACAGUGUGAUAAAUGCUACAAUAGAGAAAGGAAAGAAGAGAACUGGCUAGAGAUCUAGUGUUUAUGGAACACAAACUGUCAGAUUGCAACAAGUGCUUCUGCAUUUCAUUUCCCUUCAUAAUAGCCCUGUAAAGUAAUUACUGUUAACCCACUUUGUGGAUAAGGAAGCUCAAAUCUAGAAUGGUCUAGCAAGUUGCCUACACAUUCAGUAGCGGGUGCAAGCCCUAAGCAGACAAGUGCCAAACCAGGCUGGGUGAUUAGCCAGCUUCAUGCAUGUAGGUUUGUGCUCACAGUUCCCUGGACCUUAGUUUUCUUGUGUAAAAUGGCAGAACUACACUAGUAGACCUCUUAGGGCCUUUACAUCAGGAAGCUGAAGAAGACUGAGUGGACAUGGAUCAUUCGAGUUGCAGAUCUGAAGAAACCGAAGAGAAUUCCGCACCUUUGGACUCAGCCUGAGAGGGCCACUGAACUGAGACCCCUUUAGCUGGAUGGGUGGGGCUUUGGGACCACAGAAGUGAGACUUCUAAAUCAGUUUGGGACUCAAGAACUGCUUAACAUGGAGUUCCCACUGUGGCUCAACGGUAAUGAACCCAACUAGUACCCAUGAGGACAGGGUUUCAUCCCUGGCCUCACUCAGUGGGUUAAGGAUCCGUCAUUGCCACAAGCUGUGGUGUAGGUCACAGACAUGGCUCCUAUCCUGCAUUGCUGUGCAUUGGCCAGCAGCUGCAGCUCUGAUUCAAUCCCUGGCCUGGGAAUCUCUACAUGCCAUGGGUGUAGCAGCUAAAAAAAAUGACAAAAGGAAAAAAAAGAACUGCCAAACAGAGGGGGUUGGACUUGGUCUGAUACAUUUUGCUGAGUUACUAAUUUGCGUUCUCUGCCUCAAUUUCCUGUUUUCUUUGCUCCAUACUCAGACAUCCAAACUACCUUCCGCCCCAGGAUAAGCCUGUGGCAGGGAGGCUUGUAUUCAAACCUACCCACCUAGAGAUUAUAUGGAGGGAGCAGAGGGAAAUACGAUCAGGAGGGGACUGAAAUGUAGGUCUUAGAUAAGAUUCCUCCAGGCUGGGAGGGAGACAGUCAAAGGUAUUGGGUGGGAUUCUCAGAAGUUUACUUAACUGUGUCCUGGCACUGCUGAUGGGGUGGAGGUAGAAAACCCUCAGACAAACCAGGUGGGGUGUCGGCAGAGCACCAUAGCCUCACAUCAGUAGCAAAUAUGGGUAGAUCUCCCCAAAUACAUAACAGAAUAUGAUGCUUUCAGGCCCGGAUCAAUGCUGUGCUCUCUGCCUGGAGAGGUCGUCCUUUCUUAUCUACCUGUUGACUUUCUAUGUCAAAGCAAAACUGCACCAAAGUUAAACAGGCAAGGAAGCCCUAAUUCAAAGCUAUUGCAAGAAGGGAUCGGACUCAGAACCAAGUCUGAACUCAACUCCACUGAAACAAAGAGGAUUUUUAAGAGCCAGACAAGCUGGAAGAGUACUCAGGAUCAUUAGGGGGAUGUGCCCACACACUGAGUAACUCCUGAGUUUGUAAAGGAUUUUUCCUGUGAUGAAAGGUGGUGUUUGCCAGGUGGUGCCAUGGAAGUUAGGCUCCUCCCUCCCACAGUGACUGGGUAUGGGGGUGCCAUACUCCUUGAUGAAAAGGAAUGACUCCCAGGUCCUUGAGAAAGACAGUCUUGGGGUGUAAAACUGGCAAGGGGCUGAGGCUCUUCAGAAGGUUUACAUCUCAAAGGGCAUAGAUCCUGCUGUAGAGCCCUGGGAACUGUAUCUCGUCACUUAUGAUGGAGCAUGAUAAUGUGAGAAAAAGAAUGUAUAUAUGUAUGUGUGACUGGGUCACCUUGCUGUACAGUAGCAAACUGACAGAACACUGUAAACCAGCUAUGAUGGGAAAAAUAAAAAUCAUUUAAAAAUAAAUACAUUUUUUAAAAGGGCAG
Molecule: long non-coding RNA, 3927 nt
Filed under: Sus scrofa (pig)
Lineage: Eukaryota; Metazoa; Chordata; Mammalia; Artiodactyla; Suidae
Description: lncRNA (ENSSSCG00000050595.2)
Source: RNAcentral